AAGUCGUAACAAGGUUUCCGUAGGUGAACCUGCGGAAGGAUCAUUAACACGUAUCCAACGUUAAACCCCUGCUCCGGAAUCUUUUCAAACAGCAAUCUCAGUAAAUCAAUGUUGAACAGUUUUGAUUUGAGACCUCUGUUUGGAGAGUGAACGUUGAGACGGUUGAGAUAUCAUCAAAUGAAAUUGUGUAAGGAUAACGCUUCUCGGUCGCUGGAGGCCCACACGGUCGGCGGACAUGCCUCAUGGGCGCAAGCCCCUUUUUAACCCCACUAAACUUCUCCUUCCUUGUGGCGAAAGCCGCAGGUGCAAAAAACGAACAACUGUUAACAAUGGAUAUCUUGGUUUUC
RNAcentral lists this unclassified non-coding RNA (347 nucleotides) under fungal sp. RNAcentral's name for it is "partial internal transcribed spacer region". The stretch from base 1 to 46 matches the Rfam family "Eukaryotic small subunit ribosomal RNA", at positions 1786 to 1831 of the family's 1831-position model. Lineage: Eukaryota; Fungi. The record is from RNAcentral.